RNAcentral lists this ribosomal RNA (468 nucleotides) under uncultured bacterium. Its description in RNAcentral is "partial 16S ribosomal RNA". It matches the Rfam family "Bacterial small subunit ribosomal RNA", at positions 28 to 507 of the family's 1533-position model. The record is from RNAcentral.
GACGAACGCUGGCGGCGUGCUUAACACAUGCAAGUCGAACGGAAAGGCCCUGCUUUUGUGGGGUGCUCGAGUGGCGAACGGGUGAGUAACACGUGAGUAACCUGCCCUUGACUUUGGGAUAACUUCAGGAAACUGGGGCUAAUACCGGAUAGGAGCUCCUGCUGCAUGGUGGGGGUUGGAAAGUUUCGGCGGUUGGGGAUGGACUCGCGGCUUAUCAGCUUGUUGGUGGGGUAGUGGCUUACCAAGGCUUUGACGGGUAGCCGGCCUGAGAGGGGGACCGGCCACAUUGGGACUGAGAUACGGACCAGACUCCUACGGGAGGCAGCAGUGGGGAAUCUUGCACAAUGGGCGGAAGCCUGAUGCAGCAACGCCGCGUGCGGGAUGACGGCCUUCGGGUUGUAAACCGCUUUCGCCUGUGACGAAGCGUGAGUGACGGUAAUGGGUAAAGAAGCACCGGCUAACUACGUG